RNAcentral lists this ribosomal RNA (462 nucleotides) under uncultured bacterium. RNAcentral describes it as "partial 16S ribosomal RNA". It matches the Rfam family "Bacterial small subunit ribosomal RNA", at positions 28 to 507 of the family's 1533-position model. The record is from RNAcentral.
GAUGAACGCUGACAGAAUGCUUAACACAUGCAAGUCAUUGGCGAAGCUGCGCUUGCGCAGUCUAGCCAAGGCGGACGGGUGAGUAACGCGUAAGGAACUUGCCCUGCAGACAGGGAUAACAGACGGAAACGACUGAUAACACCUGGUAUUGUCAGGCUGGCGCAUGCCGGCCUGAUGAAAGGAGACGCUGCAGGAGAGCCUUGCGUCCUAUUAGCUAGUUGGUGGGGUAACGGCCCACCAAGGCGAUGAUAGGUAGCCGGCCUGAGAGGGUGAACGGCCACAAGGGGACUGGGAUACGGCCCUUACUCCUACGGGAGGCAGCAGUGGGGAAUAUUGGACAAUGGGGGCAACCCUGAUCCAGCAAUUCUGUGUGCACGAAGAAGGUUUUCGGAUUGUAAAGUGCUUUCAGCAGGGAAGAAGAAAGUGACGGUACCUGCAGAAGAAGCGACGGCUAAAUACGUG